AUGAGUUUCCUUGCUCAGCUCCUGGGGCUGCUGUUGCUUUGGGUGGGAGGAUGCAGUGGAGAUGUUGUGUUGACCCAGACUCCCCUCUCCCUACCCAUCACCCCUGGAGAGUCGGCCUCCAUCUCCUGCAAGGCCAGUCAGAGCUUCCUACAUAGUAAUGGAAACACCUAUUUGAGUUGGUACCUGCAGAAGCCAGGCCAGGCUCCACAGCUCCUGCUCUAUUUGGUUUCUAACCGGGCCUCUGAGGUCCCAGACAGGUUCAGUGACAGCAGGUCAGGGACAGAUUUCACACUGAAGAUCAGCAGUUUGGAGGCUGAGGAUCUCGGGAUUUAUUACUGUCAGCAAGAUACACACAGUCCUCCCACAGUGAUACAGCUCUGA
Cynocephalus volans (Philippine flying lemur) is the source of this 381-nucleotide non-coding RNA. The record is from the annotation of a RefSeq genome assembly. Lineage: Eukaryota; Metazoa; Chordata; Mammalia; Dermoptera; Cynocephalidae.